UCGGGCUGCAAGAGUUCGUCGAGGUUGACGAGAAGACCCAGCGUAAGAAACAUCACGAUCUGUACCAGCCAGGUGAAGCCGUCGAAGAAGAUCGUCAGCGAACGUUUCUGCGUCAACUGGUUAUUACCCAACACCAAUCCUGCCAGGUAAACAGCCAAGUAUCCGUUCCCGCCAAUCAGGUCGGUAAACGAGAAGGUAAAGAAAACGAAAGCGAGCAAAAGCACCGGAUAGAGCGAAUGAUUGCUCAAAUUGAUCCGAUUGAUUGUCCAUACACCGAUCCGGCCGAUAGCGUAGCCCAUCAGACCGCCGAGCACCAUCUGAAUGACGAACUUUACGAUACUCAUCGGUACGCUCACGGCUUCUGCGCCGCCGGACAAUACGCCGAUCAGCACAAUGGUCAGCACGUACGCCAUCGGGUCGUUCGAACCGCUCUCCAGCUCCAGCAGAGGGCGCAGGUUCUCGUUCAACCCCUGUUUCUUGCUUCGCAGGAUGGAGAAAACCGAAGCCGAAUCCGUCGAAGACAUCGUCGCGGCCAGCAGCAGCGCCGCAGGAAACGAUACGGCCAGCCCGACCCAUGGGGCAAUGAGCGUGACGAAACCCGCUACGAUCACCGCCGUCAUGACGACUCCGGCGGUCGCCAAGGAAUCACGUAUCAUAGACCCGAAACCGGGUGAUCUAUCCAUGUCCAGGAUGAAGCUGCCGUAAGAGGUAGUGGAGGUCCGAACACACAUCCGUUGAAAAGGGUGGUGAUGAGGUGUGGAUAGGGGAGAAAUUCCAAUCGAACCCGGAGAUAGCUGGUUCUCCUCGAAAUAGCUUUAGGGCUAGCCUCAUGCAAGUCUUACGGAGGUAGAGCACUGAAUUCCUAAGGGGGCGUCAAAGCUUACCAAGGGAUAUCAAACUCCGAAUGCCGUGUAGAUGGUGCAUGGGAGUCAGACUAUCCGAGAUAAGUUGGGUAGUCAAAAGGGAAAGAGCCCAGACCUACAGCUAAGGUCCCAAAAUGUGUGUUAAGUGGAAAAGGAUGUGGGAUUUCGAAGACAACUAGGAUGUUGGCUUAGAAGCAGCCAUCCAUUAAAAGAGUGCGUAAUAGCUCACUAGUCGAGAGGUCCUGCGCCGAAAAUGUCCGGGGCUGAAACACACUACCGAAGCUUGGGAAUUGACGAAUGUUAAUUGGUAGAGGAGCAUUCUUAACGGGGCGAAGCUGUACCGGAAGGAGCAGUGGACUGUUAAGAAGAGAGAAUGCCGGAAUGAGUAGCGAGAGGAAGGUGAGAAUCCUUCCGGCCGAAUAUCUAAGGUUUCCAGAGUAAAGCUGAUCUGCUCUGGGUAAGUCGGGGCCUAAGGCGAGGUCGAAAGACGUAGUCGAUGGAUAACAGGUAAAGAUUCCUGUACUAUAUCAUAACAGAACUGUGGGGACGCAGACAGAGAGCAUAAGCCGGGAAUGGAAAAACCGGUACAAGCGAGGUAGGAGUGCAUCAGGCAAAUCCGGUGCACAAUCUGAAGACGUGAUGUGGGGCGUAAAGCCGGAAGUAUGUGAGCUGGCUGCCAAGAAAAGCCGCUAUUGUUUAUGAUAUACCCGUACCGUAAACCGACACAGGUGGAUGAGGAGAGAAUCCUAAGGCCGACGGGAGAAGCAUUGUUAAGGAACUCGGCAAAAUGACUCCGUAACUUCGGGAGAAGGAGUGCCAUGUAAAAGUGGCCGCAGAGAAUUGGCCCAAGCAACUGUUUAGCAAAAACACAGGUCUAUGCAAAACCGAAAGGUGAGGUAUAUGGGCUGACGCCUGCCCGGUGCUGGAAGGUUAAGAGGAGAUGUUAGAGCAAUCGAAGCAUUGAAUUUAAGCCCCAGUAAACGGCGGCCGUAACUAUAACGGUCCUAAGGUAGCGAAAUUCCUUGUCGGGUAAGUUC
RNAcentral lists this ribosomal RNA (1900 nucleotides) under human gut metagenome. RNAcentral describes it as "bacterial LSU rRNA". The stretch from base 580 to 1900 matches the Rfam family "Bacterial large subunit ribosomal RNA", at positions 570 to 1983 of the family's 2925-position model. The record is from RNAcentral.